UAACGUCGAGUCAUUAUGCUCUCAUUUUUGGAGAUAUUCAUGUGUUACAAAGUGUUACAAAGAAAGUUAUAGGUUUCCUUUGAAAAUAGGAUUCUCAACAAUUAUCGUUCUAAUUGAAAAUUGAAAUGUUUUGAUGAAGGAGGAAUUAUUAGGAAUCAUUGGUUAGUUAUUCAAUGGUGGACAGGAUAUAAGUUUUGUACAUACCGCCCGUCAAGCAAAAAGCAGAGUUGAAUAUGAAAAUGGCAUAAAAUAAAAGCUAUUUUUUGUGCUUUCUAAUUUGUGUUAAGUCGAAACAUGGUUGCCAAUAAGGAAUUAUUGGCAGGACCA
Molecule: ribosomal RNA, 327 nt
Filed under: Lingulaulax polyedra
Lineage: Eukaryota; Dinophyceae; Gonyaulacales; Lingulodiniaceae
Description: Lingulodinium polyedra partial Bacterial small subunit ribosomal RNA
Rfam family: Bacterial small subunit ribosomal RNA
Source: RNAcentral